Molecule: ribosomal RNA, 397 nt
Filed under: uncultured bacterium
Lineage: Bacteria
Description: partial 16S ribosomal RNA
Rfam family: Bacterial small subunit ribosomal RNA
Source: RNAcentral
AUACGUAGGGGGCAAGCGUUAUCCGGGUUUACUGGGUGUAAAGGGAGCGUAGACGGCAAAGCAAGUCUGAAGUGAAAGCCCCGGGCUCAACCCGGGAAUUGCUUUGGAAACUGUUUAGCUGGAGUGCAGGAGAGGUAAGCGGAAUUCCUAGUGUAGCGGUGAAAUGCGUAGAGAUUGGGAGGAACACCAGUGGCGAAGGCGACUUACUGGACUGUAACUGACGCUGAGGCGCGAAAGUGUGGGGAGCAAACAGGAUUAGAUACCCUGGUAGUCCACACUGUAAACGAUGAAUGCUAGGUGUAGGGGGUAUCGACUCCCUCUGUGCCGCAGUUAACACAAUAAGUAUUCCGCCUGGGGAGUACGGCCGCAAGGUUGAAACUCAAAGGAAUUGGCGGGG